UGGGGAAUUUUGGACAAUGGGCGCAAGCCUGAUCCAGCCAUGCCGCGUGCGGGAAGAAGGCCUUCGGGUUGUAAACCGCUUUUGUCAGGGAAGAAAUCUUCUGAGUUAAUACCUCGGGAGGAUGACGGUACCUGAAGAAUAAGCACCGGCUAACUACGUGCCAGCAGCCGCGGUAAUACGUAGGGUGCAAGCGUUAAUCGGAAUUACUGGGCGUAAAGCGUGCGCAGGCGGUUUUGUAAGACAGAGGUGAAAUCCCCGGGCUAACCCGGGAACUGCCUUUGUGACUGCAAGGCUUGAGUGCGGCAGAGGGGGAUGGAAUUCCGCGUGUAGCAGUGAAAUGCGUAGAUAUGCGGAGGAACACCGAUGGCGAAGGCAAUCCCCUGGGCCUGCACUGACGCUCAUGCACGAAAGCGUGGGGAGCAAACAGGAUUAGAUACCCUGGUAGUCCACGCCCUAAACGAUGUCAACU
Molecule: ribosomal RNA, 469 nt
Filed under: uncultured bacterium
Lineage: Bacteria
Description: partial 16S ribosomal RNA
Rfam family: Bacterial small subunit ribosomal RNA
Source: RNAcentral